CGUCCAGCCGGCCGACGACGACGAGCCGGACGAGGUGCUGGCGCAGGUGGUCACGUGCUCGUACGUGCUGCGCGCCCUGACGGCCGCCAGUCCAACGGCGCUGUCCGGCUGCCGGCCCGCCGCCAGCGCCGCCCUGGCGGCCGCCGGACGAGUCUCGCCCGAGCAGAUCAGCGGCGACGAUGCGCCGCUGCAGCACCUGGACGCCGCCCGCCGGCUGCUGGAGGAACUGGUGGAGCGGUGCGCGGCCGCUUGAGGGCGCUGACGGUUUUGGGCGGUUCGUUGAAGGCCAGCUGCGUCCGGCGAAUGGGAGCAGCUUACUCUAGGUCUCGCCAGCCGGGCUUGGUUGGGAACUGGGUCCAACAUGGAUACGCAUCAGCACCAGACAGGCCCAUGUCUUAGAAAGGCAGACAGGCUGGUCCGCAGAAUCAUGUCGCUUUGUGAUAAUACAAGUUGGACAGACA
Long non-coding RNA from Pollicipes pollicipes, 461 nucleotides. RefSeq lists it as uncharacterized. The record is from RefSeq and is a predicted model, not a curated record. Lineage: Eukaryota; Metazoa; Arthropoda; Thecostraca; Pollicipedomorpha; Pollicipedidae. The transcript is spliced from 2 exons.